Pleurotus pulmonarius is the source of this 105-nucleotide non-coding RNA. The record is from the annotation of a GenBank genome assembly. Lineage: Eukaryota; Fungi; Basidiomycota; Agaricomycetes; Agaricales; Pleurotaceae.
GGCGCUAUGGCCGAGUGGUUAAGGCGAGAGAUUAGAACGACCCGUUCAAUCAUUCAGCGUAUCUCUUCCGGUUUCCGGGCGCAGGUUCAAAUCCUGCUGGCGUCG